CCUGGUGGCUAUGGCGAGGGGGCUGGACCCGAUCCCAUUCCGAACUCGGCCGUCAAAACCCUCAGCGCCGAUGGUACUUCGUCUCAAGACGCGGGAGAGUAGGUCGCUGCCAGGC
Molecule: ribosomal RNA, 115 nt
Organism: Reticulomyxa filosa
Lineage: Eukaryota; Foraminifera; Reticulomyxidae
Source: Rfam